AGGGCUGGUCACACCCCUCUUGAGACCUGUGUGGUGUGGGGCCAUCACCCAAGGAUGCUGCUGCUUCUGCUGCUUCUGGGGCCCAGCUCCGGGCUCGGUGCUGGCGUCUCUCAGAGUCCAAGCAGGGUCGUCUGUGCACGUGGGACCCGUGUGACGAUCGAGUGCCGUGCAGAGGGCAUUCAGGCCACAACUGUGUUUUGGUAUCAGCAGUUCCCGAAUCAGGGCCUCGUCCUGAUGGCGACUUCCAAUGUGGGCUCGCCCGCCACACACGAGCAAGGUUUCCCCCAGGACAGCUUUCGCAUCAGCCACCCAAACCAGUCUUUCUCGGAUUUGACGGUGCCGAGUGCGCGCCCUGAGCACAGCGGCCUCUACUUCUGUGCUGCCCGUGACACAGCGCGGGGCGGAGAUGCGAGGCCCAGGCAGGAACCUCUGCCCCUCUCCCCUGCACCCAGCCCGGGGGACCCUGUGGGAGGGGGUGUGGUGGAUGGAGGGAAACCACAGCUCCUCUGA
Molecule: non-coding RNA, 510 nt
Organism: Phyllostomus hastatus (greater spear-nosed bat)
Lineage: Eukaryota; Metazoa; Chordata; Mammalia; Chiroptera; Phyllostomidae
Source: the annotation of a RefSeq genome assembly